GCUUUAAAAUUUUAUUUUGCUUUUAAUUAACAAAAAGAAGCGUAAGAAAGAUAGGAGGGCAAUGCCUAAUUUCCUCUGCUCUCAGGGAGGCAGGGAGAGAUACCAUUCUGCAAAUUCAAAUGUAAUAAUUUGGUCAGCUGUUAAAACAGAAGUUCUUCAGGAACACUUGUUUUAUGGGCAGUAAGGUAUGUGUUAAUAUCUGUACCCAUUACAGAUGUACUCUGUUCUCUGAUAACAUAAGCCUAUCCUUGAAAAUGUGCUUUGAACAAAGGAGUCUUGUUAAGAUUCUAAGACUUCAAGACAAUCAUUGCUGUGUUAUCCUGUGAAAACAAACUCUCCAAGAAAGCUGAAAUUGGCUGGGCGCGGUGGCUCAUGCCUGUAAUCCCAACACUUUGGGAGAUCAAGGCAGGUGGAUCACCUGAUGUCAGGAGUUCGAGACCACGAUCCUCCCACCUCAGUGUCCUCAGUAGCUGGGACUACAGGUGUGCACCACUAUACCUGGGUAAUUUUUGUUUUUCGUUUUCGUUUUAGUAGCGGCAGCGUCCUGCUAUGUUGCAGGUUGGUCUCAAACUCAAACUCCUAGCCUCAAGUGGUCCUCCCACGUCAGCCUCCCAUGUAGCUGGGAUUACAGGUGCACAAUACUACGUUAUGCUAAUUUUUCUAAGUUUUAGUAGAGAUGGGGUCUCACCAUGUGGCCCAGGCUGGUCUCAAGUGACCCUCCCACCUCGGCCUCCCAAAGUGCUGGGAUUACAAGCAUGAGCCGCCGCACCCAGCCUGGAUUUACAACCUCUACUAUAUUCUCUUAAUCACACAACCUCUCAGACAUUCUGUCACUCAUACAGUCAUUUUCUGUGUCAUGGAUUCCAGCCUUACUACAGUCUCCUUCUAACAGUUUCACACACACAAUCAUGUUUAACAGCCUGUCUCAUUCAGUCAAUAUUGCCAAUAUUUUCUCUCACCAGUCAGUUCCUUACAUAUGCAUGCACACUCACACAAUCUCAUGAAAUGUUGAGCCACUCAUUUGGCCUGUUACUUUCUCACAUACACAAAUAGUCACUGAUUUAUAGUCACCACUAACUAGUCUCUCAUGAAGUUUCCCACACAUGCACAAAAAUCACCACCUCUCCUACCCCUUUCUCACUCAAGCCACUUUUUCACACACCCACGAUCCCCGAUUACAGCCUCUCCCACGAAGACAUUCACACGCAUACACAAUCACACAGUAUCUCAGACACCGCCGUCACCUAGUUUCACGUUUCUUCUCAGUCAGCUUCCAGCACCCUCAGUCCUUGAUUUACAGCCUUUCAUAAAGUCUCUUGCAAAGGGUUUUACCAAUGGUAUAAUCAGUUUCUCAGCCACUGUCUGAGUCAUCACUGUCCCUCAGUCAGCUUCUGAUAUACUCGGUCACUAUUUCACAAUCACCAUUAGGCCCUUGAUAAGUCACCUACAGUCACCCAGGCCCUGUCUCGGUCGUGCACACCGUCAUUUUCUUCAUAUGGGAAGCUCAGCAUGGACACACGUGCACAGCUUUACAAGUUUCUCACACACUGCCACGUGGUCACUCGCCGUGUCUCAUUUGCUCAGCUCUUUUGCGUGGCCCCGGAUUUAUGGUUGCUUAUGAACUCUUUCACAAACCCCCUGACGCUCUGACAUCACUCAGUUGUCAAGCUCCUCUCCCACAGUUGCUGACUCCCAGUUACUGCUACUGCAAGUCUCUCAUCAACAGUUCCUUGCCCCUUUCCCUCGCAUGCCCAGUGACGCGGUCUCUCACACCAUGUCAGUGGCUCCGUCCGGCUCACUGUCAUUUUCUCUCCCACUUCCUCACAGUUCCUGAACCUGUGGGACAGAAUGUGGCAGUAACGGUAAAUCGAUUUGCCACUAGUUUCAGGUGUACACACACACACACACACACACACACACGGCCUGUCACACUCUCCCAGUCACAGCCAUUCGUUUUGUUUCUCAGUCUUUGCUACAGUCUGUCUCUCACGCCUGCUUUCGUACACACAGUUGCACCUUCUUGUAUCUUUGGUCUCAGUUGCUGGUUUGGUCUCAUAGCCAUUCUCUCUCGUACAAUCAAGUUCGCACCC
Macaca fascicularis (crab-eating macaque) is the source of this 2090-nucleotide long non-coding RNA. Lineage: Eukaryota; Metazoa; Chordata; Mammalia; Primates; Cercopithecidae. The record is from Ensembl.